GGCCCUUUAGCUUAGCCGAUUAAAGCGAAUGACCACCAUCGUCAGGUCGCUGAUUCGGGUUUAGCAAAGGCCACCA
This 76-nucleotide transfer RNA is filed under the name Buttiauxella warmboldiae. Its description in RNAcentral is "tRNA-OTHER". The record is from RNAcentral. Lineage: Bacteria; Pseudomonadati; Pseudomonadota; Gammaproteobacteria; Enterobacterales; Enterobacteriaceae.